The sequence is a transfer RNA, 97 nucleotides long. It matches the Rfam family "tRNA". Rfam says of the family: Transfer RNA (tRNA) molecules are approximately 80 nucleotides in length. Their secondary structure includes four short double-helical elements and three loops (D, anti-codon, and T loops). Further hydrogen bonds mediate the characteristic L-shaped molecular structure. tRNAs have two regions of fundamental functional importance: the anti-codon, which is responsible for specific mRNA codon recognition, and the 3' end, to which the tRNAs corresponding amino acid is attached (by aminoacyl-tRNA synthetases). tRNAs cope with the degeneracy of the genetic code in two manners: having more than one tRNA (with a specific anti-codon) for a particular amino acid; and 'wobble' base-pairing, i.e. permitting non-standard base-pairing at the 3rd anti-codon position. The record is from Rfam.
GCCCUGGUAGCUCAAUUGGUUAGAGCGUCGGACUUUUACGGUUACAACAUGUGACCGAGGCAUCCGAAGGCUGCGGGUUCGACCCCCGCCUGGGGCG